This 490-nucleotide ribosomal RNA is filed under the name uncultured bacterium. Its description in RNAcentral is "bacterial SSU rRNA". It matches the Rfam family "Bacterial small subunit ribosomal RNA", at positions 28 to 507 of the family's 1533-position model. The record is from RNAcentral.
GAUGAACGCUAGCUACAGGCUUAACACAUGCAAGUCGCGGGGCAGCAUUUUCUUAGCUUGCUAAGGAAGAUGGCGACCGGCGCACGGGUGAGUAACGCGUAUCCAACCUUCCCAUGUCCACGGGAUAGCCCGUCGAAAGGCGGAUUAAUACCGUAUGAGGUCACAUGCGGGCAUCUAACUGUGACGAAAGGUUUAGCGGACAUGGAUGGGGAUGCGUCCGAUUAGCUAGUUGGCGGGGUAACGGCCCACCAAGGCGACGAUCGGUAGGGGUUCUGAGAGGAAGGUCCCCCACACUGGUACUGAGACACGGACCAGACUCCUACGGGAGGCAGCAGUGAGGAAUAUUGGUCAAUGGGCGCAGGCCUGAACCAGCCAAGUCGCGUGAGGGAGGACGGUCCUACGGAUUGUAAACCUCUUUUGUCGGGGAGUAACGUGCGGGACGGGUCCCGUAUUGAGAGUACCCGAAGAAAAAGCAUCGGCUAACUCCGUG